UGCCAGACUCCUACGGGAGGCAGCAGUGGGGAAUAUUGCACAAUGGGGGAACCCUGAUGCAGCGACGCCGCGUGGGCGAGGAAGUAUUUCGGUAUGUAAGGCCCUAUCGGCAGGGAAGAAGAAAUGACGGUACCUGAAUAAGAAGCACCGGCUAAAUACGUGCCAGCAGCCGCGGGAAUACGUAGGGGGCAAGCGUUAUCCGGAUUUACUGGGUGUAAAGGGGGCGCAGACGGCAGCGCAAGCCAGGAGUGAAAGCCCGGGGCCCAACCCCGGGACUGCUCUUGGAACUGCGCGGCUGGAGUGCAGGAGGGGCAGGCGGAAUUCCUGGUGUAGCGGUGAAAUGCGUAGAUAUCAGGAGGAACACCGGUGGCGAAGGCGGCCUGCUGGACUGCGACUGACGUUGAGGCCCGAAAGCGUGGGGAGCAAACAGGAUUAGAUACCCUCGUA
Molecule: ribosomal RNA, 447 nt
Filed under: uncultured bacterium
Lineage: Bacteria
Description: partial 16S ribosomal RNA
Rfam family: Bacterial small subunit ribosomal RNA
Source: RNAcentral